AAUAAGUGCAGUUUUAUACUAUUCAUGUUUAACGUUUGACCGUUCGUCUUAUUUGAAAAUUUUUUAUGAUUAGUAUUUUUAUUAUGAUAAAAUAUGAAUAGUACUUUAUGUGUAACUAAAUAUUUUUAAAUUUUUCACAAAUUUUUCAAAUAAAAUGGACGGUCAAAUGUUGGACACGGAUAUCUAUGACUGCACUUAUU
This 200-nucleotide microRNA precursor is filed under the name Oryza sativa Japonica Group (Japanese rice). Its description in RNAcentral is "MIR812 microRNA precursor family". It matches the Rfam family "MIR812 microRNA precursor family". Lineage: Eukaryota; Viridiplantae; Streptophyta; Magnoliopsida; Poales; Poaceae. The record is from Rfam by way of RNAcentral.